GAAGUGCCUUGGGGCGUGCUAUAAGCCAAUGGCGGUAAUAGCCGCAGCCAAAGUAUUGUUGCAUUCACGUGGCUGCCAUGGCGUGUUGUGUGUCGUGGUGCGUGUGGCAUGAGACCAGUGAUGUGCUACAGGUGAUUCUCUCUGCGAAUCAUUGCCUCACCAGACCACGCGUACGGCGGACACGUAUUGAGUGUUGACCAGAUACUACGUGCUGUUCCGUGUCGCAACUUCGUCGAAUAAUUAUUCCGGCGAGGCAGAUGGAAAUACCUACUGUUUUGUCACACGCUAUUUCGCGCGCCCUCGCGAAAUCCGCAGCAAGUCAACAACGCAAGGUGUGGAAGCAUUGCAACGAAAACGUCCGGGAAAGCACCACGUACCUUCACACGUUCUCUGGAGACCACCUUCCAGGACCUUACGUGUAUGCGCGCCAAGCUCGGGGAGACUUCAGUAAGGCAGGUAUAUAAGCAGGUAAAGGGCCAUCUCUGCAAUCUCCAGUCACCCCUGUCGUGUGCAAGCUGACUUCAUCAUCACUACCCCAUCUGAGCUUGACACUCAAGCUUUUCAGCACUUCCCCUUUCAUUUUGCUAUACCGCUGUCACGGAAUUGGAGGCUGCGAACGGCAAGCUUCGAAGGUGCCGUAAACUUCGUUGCCCUGUGCUUUUCCUGGACCUGGCGGUCUGACCUUUUGAAUCCGCGCCGCAUUGCUGCCGGCCACAUCACCUCAAAGAUUCUACGCAAGCGCUGUUGUUACCACAUGCAGGCCACGGCCACAGCUGGGGCAGUGCCCUUCACUUUGGCAGCAGCGGCGAAGUGCAUCGCAUGCAGCCCGCCGAAUUCUUGUUUUAUCUACCGUCGCAGGCAAAUAUGGAAAGACUGCCUUUCAACUUCGGGACAGCACCUGAGCUCUCUAUUCCUGUACCAUCACAUCGCUAUAUACAAGGAUCACACAAGUGCCACGUCAAGAAUACCGAAUAAAUAUGCCAUUACAUUUCAA
Molecule: non-coding RNA, 994 nt
Organism: Dermacentor andersoni
Lineage: Eukaryota; Metazoa; Arthropoda; Arachnida; Ixodida; Ixodidae
Source: RefSeq, a predicted model, not a curated record